AAUUCAGGAGAUGUGUUUCAGGUUUGAUCAGCUAUGGAAAAAGUGUCUACGUCGUACCAGAUUCUGAGUCCUCAAAAUAUGAUACAACUACUACUUAUAUGCAAUGAAAAGGUUUCUCUUCUUUCAUAGACUGUAUACAUAUAACUGGAUACAAGAAACAGGUGCAUUUAUAGCAGGAGUACUCUUAUAGCAGCGUUCUUAGGACUGGCAGGAGGCUUAACAUAUCACACGAGUGAGCUUUGCUGCCGGAGCUUGUGUCGCUUAUUUCCACCACGGGUUCUCGCCGGUCCUGAAGUCGGUCUCCACCCAUGGCACGAAGACGACCUUGCCGUCGUCGACGUCGGCGUGAACGAGGGCCAGCGACU
This 365-nucleotide long non-coding RNA is filed under the name Hordeum vulgare. Its description in RNAcentral is "long non-coding RNA (HVUL_LNC003587)". Lineage: Eukaryota; Viridiplantae; Streptophyta; Magnoliopsida; Poales; Poaceae. The record is from RNAcentral.